Molecule: ribosomal RNA, 539 nt
Filed under: uncultured bacterium
Lineage: Bacteria
Description: bacterial SSU rRNA
Rfam family: Bacterial small subunit ribosomal RNA
Source: RNAcentral
AGAGUUUGAUCAUGGCUCAGAAUCAACGCUGGCGGCGUGCCUCAGACAUGCAAGUCGAACGCGAAAGUUCCCUUCGGGGAGCGAGUAGAGUGGCGCACGGGUGAGUAACACGUAGGUAAUCUACCUUUGGAUGGGGAAUAACAACCGGAAACGGUUGCUAAUACCGCAUAAUGCAGCGGCACCUAAUGGUGACAGUUGUUAAAGCGGGGGAUCGAAAGACCUCGCGUCUGAAGAGGAGCCUGCGGCAGAUUAGCUAGUUGGUAAGGUAACGGCUUACCAAGGCGAUGAUCUGUAACCGGCCUGAGAGGGCGGUCGGUCACACUGACACUGACAUACGGGUCAGACUCCUACGGGAGGCAGCAGUCGGGAAUUUUGGGCAAUGGGCGAAAGCCUGACCCAGCAACGCCGCGUGAAGGAUGAAAUCCCUCGGGAUGUAAACUUCGCAAGAACAGGAAGAAUAAGUAAGAGUUAAUAUCUCUUAUGAUGACGGUACUGUUUGUAAGCUCCGGCUAACUCCGUGCCAGCCGCCGCGGUAAUUC